Molecule: unclassified non-coding RNA, 588 nt
Filed under: uncultured cyanobacterium
Lineage: Bacteria; Bacillati; Cyanobacteriota
Description: partial contains 16S ribosomal RNA, 16S-23S ribosomal RNA intergenic spacer, and 23S ribosomal RNA
Rfam family: Bacterial small subunit ribosomal RNA (bases 1-121)
Source: RNAcentral
CCACGCCCGAAGUCGUUACUCUAACCAUUCGUGGAGGAGGGCGCCGAAGGUGGGGCUGAUGACUGGAGUGAAGUCGUAACAAGGUAGCCGUACCGGAAGGUGUGGCUGGAUCACCUCCUUUUAGGGAGACCUACCUGUGAUUACCCGAAAAGUUUAUAGAGAGGGUAAUGACGUGGUCAUCUCAAGGUCGAGCAGGACUUAUUUCAUGGUUUCUUCCACCUGUUGGGUAAUGGGGGCUAUUAGCUCAGGUGGUUAGAGCGCACCCCUGAUAAGGGUGAGGUCCCUGGUUCGAGUCCAGGAUGGCCCACUGCGUGGGGGUAUAGCUCAGUUGGUAGAGCGCCUGCUUUGCAAGCAGGAUGUCAGCGGUUCGAGUCCGCUUACCUCCACCAAAGAAGAGAUAGCGAGGAGCGUCUGUCUGAGAGUUCAGCACGUUAAUGGAGUGAUUAACCUGCUGAGUUCUAUGGACUCAGCGAGACCCUUGACAACUGCAUAGAGAGAAAGAGUCAAAAGGUAGUUGAAGACAAUUCUAAAUUUUGAGAGAAGGUCAAGCUACAAAGGGCUCACGGUGGAUACCUAGGCACACAGAGG